GCCUUGUGUAGUUCAGGAAAAGGCAACAUUCGAGCAGGAAAGCAGGGAUAGAAGUUCUCAUUUUGGGACCUGGUUUCAGGCUUUUCAGCUUGAGGGUGGGGUUUUUGCCAGGGACCCGGCCUUUCUUGCCUAGAAUUUCUGUCUCUUGUCCCUAUCACUAGCAUAAAGAGAAAGGGAGCAGAGGUAAGAGCAGCUCCAUUUUGAAAAAUGGAAAGCAAAGGGAUGAGUGGUAACUGUCUUAGCAGCCCUGAGAACAAUGAGUUAUGGUUGGCAGUGAGAGAAUCUCGAAAGCAGCCCGACUGGCACUGCACAUCCCCACAAAGCUCAGGAAUGGGUAUAUCCAGAUUAUUCUGGAAGUGACUGUGAAGGUAAAGCUAGAAAAAAGAUUGUAGAAAGUCAGUCUAAGAACUCGUUAAACUGCCAGAUUCUUUCCCCAACCAUGGCAGAAGGCAGGUGAUUCAUUCUCAAGAGAGAGUAGAACACAGAGUCUCUUGGCUGAAGGCACCAGGUACAGUUGAAGGAAGAAGUCUUGUACGAAAAAUAUGUGCUCAAGUAAUACACAUAUCGAAUGCUGAGAUCCUCAACCUUUUUUUUCCCCACUUGGCCCCCCAGAAUGUGGCAAGGAAGAGUAUGCCCUUCAGACAGAAAAGUAGAAGCCGCCUCUUUGAGAAAUGUAACAGAUCCAAGAGAAAAGACCUAAAGACACUAACAUUGACGGCUACCCAAAGAAAUCUAUUUGGAUUCCAGUAAAGCUCCUCCAGUGAAAGCACAUGUAUAUUACAGUGCACAUCUAUCAGCAUCUUCCAUGAGAUCAGGAUAUUUCUGAAGCCCUAUUGGUUAUACCACUGUAAGAGCCUGGGACUACAACAGAGUGCAUUUUCCUGGAGGGCCAACUUACUUAGUGAUGGAAGGGAAAAUGGAACUAGCAACGAAAUUUAAUGAAAUCUCAGGAUGCCCAAGAUCACUAAGGCUAUGUAACAUUGAAUGAAAGGACAUAUUUCCAGAUUGAAUGAACUCCACCAACUACUCAGCAUCCCACAUUAAAGCAGACUCAUGCAGAAUACAUACAUCAUCAUGAAAUUUCGGAACACUGGGAACAUGCAGACCCUAGAAGCAUCAUGAUUUUUUUAAAAACUCACAUACAAAGGAUUGAAAAUCGGAAUAUUGUCAGACUUCUAACAGCAAGUUAAACUGUAGAACAAUGGAGCAAUGUCUUCAAAGUUCUCAGAGAAGAUUGUUUCCAACCUCUAAUCUGUACACUAACAACUAAUAAAGUGUGAAGUUAGAACAAGGACAGUUUCAGGCAAGCAAGAUCUCAUCAAAUUUACAUUCUAUGCGUCAUUUCUCAGAAAGCUAGAGGAGGAUGUGUUCACUAAGUAAAGAGUAAACUAAGAAAGGGCAAGAUAUGGAAUCCAAGGAACAGGGACCUCACUCAAGAGAGUCAAAGGGAAUUCCUUGGAUGACAGCAAAAGAAGAUUCCCGCGGCAACAGCUGUGUUGCAUCCUUGAAUGUGACUGACCCAGAUUGAAGAGGAGGACAGAACCUCCAGGAGGAAAUGAAGAAGUAAUAUGUAUAAAAUUGACAUAAUCUUCAAUAUGUUUGAUGUUUUCAGUGGAGAUUACAAUUCUGUAAUAAAAUUUAGAAUGCAUUAAUUAAAACUAUCAAAUGGGAAAAAAUAAGAUCGUUAUUAAUUCCAGGGAAAAUAUAACAUUAUACAAGAAAGGAAUAUAAUUAACAAAGUACUUGCCUCAGAUAAAUAAUUUUUGCAUAGACAAAUUAAUGUAAGCCCAAAUACUAAUCUAUCUGAAAAUAUGGUGAGGUGGUUUGGCUGUGUCCCCACUCAAAUCUCAUCUUGAAUUGUAGCUCCCAUAAUUCCCAUGUGUCAUGGAAGGGACCCAGUAGGCGGUAA
Chlorocebus sabaeus (green monkey) is the source of this 1909-nucleotide long non-coding RNA. RefSeq lists it as uncharacterized. Lineage: Eukaryota; Metazoa; Chordata; Mammalia; Primates; Cercopithecidae. The record is from RefSeq and is a predicted model, not a curated record.